This 1010-nucleotide ribosomal RNA is filed under the name Salmonella enterica subsp. enterica serovar Schwarzengrund. RNAcentral's name for it is "partial 23S ribosomal RNA". It matches the Rfam family "Bacterial large subunit ribosomal RNA", at positions 242 to 1191 of the family's 2925-position model. The record is from RNAcentral. Lineage: Bacteria; Pseudomonadati; Pseudomonadota; Gammaproteobacteria; Enterobacterales; Enterobacteriaceae.
AGUAGCGGCGAGCGAACGGGGAGGAGCCCAGAGCCUGAAUCAGCAUGUGUGUUAGUGGAAGCGUCUGGAAAGGCGCGCGAUACAGGGUGACAGCCCCGUACACAAAAGCGCAUGUGCUGUGAGCUCGAUGAGUAGGGCGGGACACGUGGUAUCCUGUCUGAAUAUGGGGGGACCAUCCUCCAAGGCUAAAUACUCCUGACUGACCGAUAGUGAACCAGUACCGUGAGGGAAAGGCGAAAAGAACCCCGGCGAGGGGAGUGAAAAAGAACCUGAAACCGUGUACGUACAAGCAGUGGGAGCCCCACCACUAAGCCAGUGGUGAACUCCACAUACGCAUCCUUUGCUGAGGAUACGGUUAACGGAGCGAAAGCGACGUUCAACCUCAAAAGAAGCAGAGGGGGCUUAGUGGUGGGGUGACUGCGUACCUUUUGUAUAAUGGGUCAGCGACUUAUAUUCUGUAGCAAGGUUAACCGAAUAGGGGAGCCGGAGGGAAACCGAGUCUUAACCGGGCGUUAAGUUGCAGGGUAUAGACCCGAAACCCGGUGAUCUAGCCAUGGGCAGGUUGAAGGUUGGGUAACACUAACUGGAGGACCGAACCGACUAAUGUUGAAAAAUUAGCGGAUGACCUGUGGCUGGGGGUGAAAGGCCAAUCAAACCGGGAGAUAGCUGGUUCUCCCCGAAAGCUAUUUAGGUAGCGCCUCGUGAAUUCAUCUCCGGGGGUAGAGCACUGUUUCGGCUAGGGGGCCAUCCCGGCUUACCAACCCGAUGCAAACUGCGAAUACCGGAGAAUGUUAUCACGGGAGACACACGGCGGGUGCUAACGUCCGUCGUGAAGAGGGAAACAACCCAGACCGCCAGCUAAGGUCCCAAAGUCAUGGUUAAGUGGGAAACGAUGUGGGAAGGCCCAGACAGCCAGGAUGUUGGCUUAGAAGCAGCCAUCAUUUAAAGAAAGCGUAAUAGCUCACUGGUCGAGUCGGCCUGCGCGGAAGAUGUAACGGGGCUAAACCAUG